RNAcentral lists this long non-coding RNA (704 nucleotides) under Erythranthe guttata (spotted monkey flower). RNAcentral's name for it is "long non-coding RNA (EGUT_LNC001257)". Lineage: Eukaryota; Viridiplantae; Streptophyta; Magnoliopsida; Lamiales; Phrymaceae. The record is from RNAcentral.
AAAAAAUAUACAAACAUUGUAAUUGAUUUAUACAUUGGAAUCAAUAAACAAAAAAUCAAAAAAAAAAUUAACAACUGGAGUCGGUUAACCUUAAUCGACUACUGAACAUAGUCGAUUAAGCCUUAAUCGACUAUUGAACAUAGUCGAUUAAACACACGUAGUCGAUUAAGGCCCUGCCUGCGCGAAUUUCUUUUUCUGCGCGAAUUCAGCAAACCCAUCGGAAUCUUCCACCCAAAACCGCCGCCGCCAGCAAACCCAUCGCAAUCCUCCACCCAAAACCGCCGCCACCAACAGACCCAUCGCAAUCCUCCACUCAAAACCGCCACCACAACCAUCAUUACCAUCACUCAUGAAUAGAGUACACAAUCCCAAUAAUCGUCCGUCACUACCACCGGUCACCGAGUACACACUCCCCACCUGGGACGAUUACAUACACUGUAAAAACACACACACACACACACACAGUCAGCUUUCGAUUAACGGUCAAAUCUUCGAGAUCUGCCUGACCGGAAGCAAUCUCCGACGAAGGUAAUUGCCAAGAGAAGAGAGAAGACGAGAAGAGGGAAGACGAGAAAAGCAGAAGAGAGAACGGCAAAACGGCAGAAGAGAGAGAGACGAGAAGACGAGGACGAGAAAAAAAGAAGAGAACGGCAAUAGGUUAGGGGUAAUAAGGGUGGUUUGGGAAUUAUUAAAUAAUAUUUGGG